RNAcentral lists this ribosomal RNA (535 nucleotides) under Helvella fibrosa. RNAcentral describes it as "eukaryotic LSU rRNA". It matches the Rfam family "Eukaryotic large subunit ribosomal RNA", at positions 119 to 665 of the family's 3401-position model. Lineage: Eukaryota; Fungi; Ascomycota; Pezizomycetes; Pezizales; Helvellaceae. The record is from RNAcentral.
AAUCUGGGGUCCUCGGCCUCCGAGUUGUAAUUUGGAGAGGAAUCUUCGGGGGGGAGCGCCGGCCCAUGUUCCUUGGAACAGGACGUCACAGAGGGUGAGAAUCCCGUGCCAGGCCGGCUGCCUCCUCCCGGGUGAAGGUCCUUCGACGAGUCGAGUUGUUUGGGAAUGCAGCUCCAAGUGGGUGGUAAAUUUCAUCUAAAGCUAAAUACCGGCGGGAGACCGAUAGCGCACAAGUAGAGUGAUCGAAAGAUGAAAAGCACUUUGAAAAUAGAGUCAAAAAGUACGUGAAAUUGUUGAAAGGGAAGCGCUUGAGACCAGACUCAGGCCCGGGCAAACAUCUCUCCCCUCGGGGCCGUGCAAUUGCCUGGGGCUGGGCCAGCAUCAGUUGGCGUGGCGGGACAAAGGCGUGGGGAAUGUGGCUCCCCUCGGGGAGUGUUAUUAGCCCCGCGCUCAAUGCCGCCGGCGCCGACUGAGGACCGCGCCUCGGCUAGGAUGCUGGCUUAAUGGCCUCCAGCGACCCGUCUUGAAACACGGA